RNAcentral lists this ribosomal RNA (465 nucleotides) under uncultured bacterium. RNAcentral's name for it is "partial 16S ribosomal RNA". It matches the Rfam family "Bacterial small subunit ribosomal RNA", at positions 28 to 507 of the family's 1533-position model. The record is from RNAcentral.
GACGAACGCUGGCGGCGUGCUUAACACAUGCAAGUCGAACGGAAAGGCCCUGCUUGCAGGGUACUCGAGUGGCGAACGGGUGAGUAACACGUGGGUGAUCUGCCCUGCACUUCGGGAUAAGCCUGGGAAACUGGGUCUAAUACCGGAUAGGAGCCAUUUUUAGUGUGAUGGUUGGAAAGUUUUUUCGGUGUAGGAUGAGCUCGCGGCCUAUCAGCUUGUUGGUGGGGUAAUGGCCUACCAAGGCGGCGACGGGUAGCCGGCCUGAGAGGGUGGACGGCCACAUUGAGACUGAGAUACGGCCCAGACUCCUACGGGAGGCAGCAGUGGGGAAGAUUGCACAAUGGGCGCAAGCCUGAUGCAGCGACGCCGCGUGGGGGAUGACGGCCUUCGGGUUGUAAACUCCUUUCGCUAGGGACGAAGCUUUUUGUGACGGUACCUAGAUAAGAAGCACCGGCUAACUACGUG